RNAcentral lists this ribosomal RNA (426 nucleotides) under uncultured bacterium. Its description in RNAcentral is "bacterial SSU rRNA". It matches the Rfam family "Bacterial small subunit ribosomal RNA", at positions 917 to 1345 of the family's 1533-position model. The record is from RNAcentral.
GGACCCGCACAAGCGGUGGAGUAUGUGGCUUAAUUCGAUGCAACGCGAAGAACCUUACCUAGGCUUGACAUGUAUUGCUAAUCUGCUGAAAGGCAGUGACCCUUCGGGGACCUUACACAGGUGCUGCAUGGCCGUCGUCAGCUCGUGUCGUGAGAUGUUCGGUUAAGUCCGGCAACGAGCGCAACCCCUGUGGUUAGUUACUAACAUUAAGUUGAGAACUCUAGCCAGACUGCCCAGAUCAACUGGGAGGAAGGUGGGGAUGACGUCAGGUCAGUAUGGCCCUUACGUCCUGGGCUACACACGUGCUACAAUGGCCGGUACAGAGAGCAGCCACUACGCGAGUAGGAGCGAAUCUUCAAAAGCCGGUCUCAGUUCGGAUCGCAGUCUGCAACUCGACUGCGUGAAGCUGGAAUCGCUAGUAAUCGG